GGACCUGUAGCUUAGUUGGUUGGAGCACCCGGCUCAUAACCGGGCGGUCGUGGGUUCAAGUCCCUCCGGGUCCAC
This 75-nucleotide transfer RNA is filed under the name Candidatus Poseidoniales archaeon. RNAcentral describes it as "tRNA-Met". It matches the Rfam family "tRNA". Rfam says of the family: Transfer RNA (tRNA) molecules are approximately 80 nucleotides in length. Their secondary structure includes four short double-helical elements and three loops (D, anti-codon, and T loops). The record is from RNAcentral. Lineage: Archaea; Methanobacteriati; Thermoplasmatota; Candidatus Poseidoniia; Candidatus Poseidoniales.